RNAcentral lists this ribosomal RNA (830 nucleotides) under Bifidobacterium sp. wkB344. Its description in RNAcentral is "bacterial SSU rRNA". It matches the Rfam family "Bacterial small subunit ribosomal RNA", at positions 716 to 1533 of the family's 1533-position model. The record is from RNAcentral. Lineage: Bacteria; Bacillati; Actinomycetota; Actinomycetes; Bifidobacteriales; Bifidobacteriaceae.
CGAAGGCAGGUCUCUGGGCCGUCACUGACGCUGAGGAGCGAAAGCGUGGGGAGCGAACAGGAUUAGAUACCCUGGUAGUCCACGCCGUAAACGGUGGAUGCUGGAUGUGGGGCCCGUUCCACGGGUUCCGUGUCGGAGCUAACGCGUUAAGCAUCCCGCCUGGGGAGUACGGCCGCAAGGCUAAAACUCAAAGAAAUUGACGGGGGCCCGCACAAGCGGCGGAGCAUGCGGAUUAAUUCGAUGCAACGCGAAGAACCUUACCUGGGCUUGACAUGUGCCGGACGGCCGCGGAGACGCGGUUUCCCUUCGGGGCCGGUUCACAGGUGGUGCAUGGUCGUCGUCAGCUCGUGUCGUGAGAUGUUGGGUCAAGUCCCGCAACGAGCGCAACCCUCGCCUCGUGUUGCCAGCACGUUAUGGUGGGAACUCACGGGGGACCGCCGGGGUUAACCCGGAGGAAGGUGGGGAUGACGUCAGAUCAUCAUGCCCCUUACGUCCAGGGCUUCACGCAUGCUACAAUGGCCGGUACAACGGGAUGCGACAUGGUGACAUGGAGCGGAUCCCUGAAAACCGGUCUCAGUUCGGAUCGGAGCCUGCAACCCGGCUCCGUGAAGGCGGAGUCGCUAGUAAUCGCGGAUCAGCAACGCCGCGGUGAAUGCGUUCCCGGGCCUUGUACACACCGCCCGUCAAGUCAUGAAAGUGGGCAGCACCCGAAGCCGGUGGCCCAACCCGCAAGGGGGGGAGCCGUCUAAGGUGAGGUCCGCGAUUGGGACUAAGUCGUAACAAGGUAGCCGUACCGGAAGGUGCGGCUGGAUCACCUCCUUUCUACGGAG